RNAcentral lists this ribosomal RNA (167 nucleotides) under uncultured bacterium. RNAcentral's name for it is "partial 16S rRNA". It matches the Rfam family "Bacterial small subunit ribosomal RNA", at positions 352 to 511 of the family's 1533-position model. The record is from RNAcentral.
CAGUAGGGAAUCUUCCACAAUGGACGCAAGUCUGAUGGAGCAACGCCGCGUGAGUGAAGAAGGUCUUCGGAUCGUAAAACUCUGUUGUUAGAGAAGAACACGAGUGAGAGUAACUGUUCAUUCGAUGACGGUAUCUAACCAGCAAGUCACGGCUAACUACGNGCCAG